This 253-nucleotide ribosomal RNA is filed under the name uncultured Methylocaldum sp. RNAcentral describes it as "partial 16S ribosomal RNA". It matches the Rfam family "Bacterial small subunit ribosomal RNA", at positions 524 to 776 of the family's 1533-position model. Lineage: Bacteria; Pseudomonadati; Pseudomonadota; Gammaproteobacteria; Methylococcales; Methylococcaceae. The record is from RNAcentral.
UACGGAGGGUGCGAGCGUUAAUCGGAAUUACUGGGCGUAAAGCGCGCGUAGGCGGUUCACUCAGUCCUUUGUGAAAGCCCUGGGCUUAACCUGGGAAUGGCAGGGGAUACUGGUGGGCUAGAGUGUGGUAGAGGAUGGCGGAAUUUCCGGUGUAGCAGUGAAAUGCGUAGAGAUCGGAAGGAACACCAGUGGCGAAGGCGGCCAUCUGGACCAACACUGACGCUGAGGUGCGAAAGCGUGGGGAGCAAACAGG